GACGAACGCUGGCGGCGUGCCUAAUACAUGCAAGUAGAACGCUGAAGGAGGAGCUUGCUUCUCUGGAUGAGUUGCGAACGGGUGAGUAACGCGUAGGUAACCUGCCUGGUAGCGGGGGAUAACUAUUGGAAACGAUAGCUAAUACCGCAUAAGAGUAGAUGUUGCAUGACAUUUGCUUAAACGGUGCAAUUGCAUCACUACCAGAUGGACCUGCGUUGUAUUAGCUAGUUGGUGGGGUAACGGCUCACCAAGGCGACGAUACAUAGCCGACCUGAGAGGGUGAUCGGCCACACUGGGACUGAGACACGGCCCAGACUCCUACGGGAGGCAGCAGUAGGGAAUCUUCGGCAAUGGACGGAAGUCUGACCGAGCAACGCCGCGUGAGUGAAGAAGGUUUUCGGAUCGUAAAGCUCUGUUGUAAGAGAAGAACGAGUGUGAGAGUGGAAAGUUCACACUGUGACGGUAUCUUACCAGAAAGGGACGGCUAACUACGUG
Molecule: ribosomal RNA, 495 nt
Filed under: uncultured bacterium
Lineage: Bacteria
Description: partial 16S ribosomal RNA
Rfam family: Bacterial small subunit ribosomal RNA
Source: RNAcentral